AGCUUGCUUCUGAUUGAUAACAUUUGAGUGAGUGGCGGACGGGUGAGUAACACGUGGGUAACCUGCCCUAAAGUGGGGGAUAACAUUUGGAAACAGAUGCUAAUACCGCAUAAAACCUAGCACCGCAUGGUGCAAGGUUGAAAGAUGGUUUCGGCUAUCACUUUAGGAUGGACCCGCGGUGCAUUAGUUAGUUGGUGAGGUAAAGGCUCACCAAGACCGUGAUGCAUAGCCGACCUGAGAGGGUAAUCGGCCACACUGGGACUGAGACACGGCCCAGACUCCUACGGGAGGCAGCAGUAGGGAAUCUUCCACAAUGGACGAAAGUCUGAUGGAGCAACGCCGCGUGAGUGAAGAAGGUUUUCGGAUCGUAAAACUCUGUUGUUGGAGAAGAACGUAUUUGAUAGUAACUGAUGAGGUAGUGACGGUAUCCAACCAGAAAGCCACGGCUAACUACGUGCCAGCAGCCGCGGUAAUACGUAGGUGGCAAGCGUUGUCCGGAUUUAUUGGGCGUAAAGCGAGCGCAGGCGGUUUCUUAAGUCUGAUGUGAAAGCCUUCGGCUCAACCGAAGAAGUGCAUCGGAAACUGGGAAACUUGAGUGCAGAAGAGGACAGUGGAACUCCAUGUGUAGCGGUGAAAUGCGUAGAUAUAUGGAAGAACACCAGUGGCGAAGGCGGCUGUCUGGUCUGUAACUGACGCUGAGGCUCGAAAGCAUGGGUAGCAAACAGGAUUAGAUACCCUGGUAGUCCAUGCCGUAAACGAUGAGUGCUAGGUGUUGGAGGGUUUCCGCCCUUCAGUGCCGCAGCUAACGCAUUAAGCACUCCGCCUGGGGAGUACGACCGCAAGGUUGAAACUCAAAGGAAUUGACGGGGGCCCGCACAAGCGGUGGAGCAUGUGGUUUAAUUCGAAGCAACGCGAAGAACCUUACCAGGUCUUGACAUCCUUUGACCACUCUAGAGAUAGAGCUUUCCCUUCGGGGACAAAGUGACAGGUGGUGCAUGGUUGUCGUCAGCUCGUGUCGUGAGAUGUUGGGUUAAGUCCCGCAACGAGCGCAACCCUUAUUACUAGUUGCCAGCAUUUAGUUGGGCACUCUAGUGAGACUGCCGGUGACAAACCGGAGGAAGGUGGGGACGACGUCAAAUCAUCAUGCCCCUUAUGACCUGGGCUACACACGUGCUACAAUGGAUGGUACAACGAGUCGCGAGACCGCGAGGUUUAGCUAAUCUCUUAAAACCAUUCUCAGUUCGGAUUGUAGGCUGCAACUCGCCUACAUGAAGCCGGAAUCGCUAGUAAUCGCGGAUCAGCAUGCCGCGGUGAAUACGUUCCCGGGCCUUGUACACACCGCCCGUCACACCAUGAGAGUUUGUAACACCCAA
This 1373-nucleotide ribosomal RNA is filed under the name Latilactobacillus sakei. RNAcentral describes it as "bacterial SSU rRNA". It matches the Rfam family "Bacterial small subunit ribosomal RNA", at positions 65 to 1424 of the family's 1533-position model. Lineage: Bacteria; Bacillati; Bacillota; Bacilli; Lactobacillales; Lactobacillaceae. The record is from RNAcentral.